AAAUGUUGAUGAUGAUAAUAAUUAAAUGAAAUUAUAACGUUUUAGUAAAUAUUUCAAAUUAAAUUCAAAGUAUAAUUUUGCUAAGCGAUUCUAUAAGCGAUUUUUGAUUCACGGCAUUUUUCAAUAAUCUCUGUUAUAAUUAAUUUAUAACAUUGUAUAAUCAUUUGAACUUCUUUUAAAUGGUUAUUUGAAACAUAUAUGUAUUAUAGUAUUUUUUGAUGUGAAAUACUUCUGGAACAUUCUGUCACUCUAAAGUUAAGGCAUAAACUUUUUUAAAUUUGAUUAUCAACGAUCUUUGCUUCUAUUUAAUAAGUUUAUUUUUAAAACGAAAAUUAACAAUUGAAGAGUUUCGCUAUCAAUCUCUAAAGAUUUUCAUUACUGUUUGAUUUGGACAUACAAAGCAAGCUCGCUCCAAAUUGAUUUCUAUAAUAAAAAAAUGGACUACACAAAUUCUAUUUAAUAAAAUGGGGUUAAGAUGAAAAUAAGAAUUUCUUAAAGUGACGAAAUUGUUAGCAGGACAUUUUGACCUUUCAGACUUAUAUCUACUAUUAAUCUCCUUGUUGCGUAUGGAGAAGGAAAUUUUAAAUUUCCGUUCGUGUGAAUUUAUCGGGGGGCAUUGAAGAAACAGUCUUAUAAAAGCACUGCUUGGAUUAUGAUUCCAACUUAUAUAAAUAUAACGAAUAUAUAUUAAAUAAAAUUACUAAUUUUUAGUUAGUAGUAGUAGUUACUGUUAGUGUAUUUUGCUUCGAUGCUUGUAUAUAAAUAUAUUGUACUACCUUAUAAAAUAUAAUAUUGUUAGUAGUACCUUCAAAAAUAAAUACAACAAUAUAUUUCAGUUGUAUCUAACUAAUCCAGAAGAACAAUUAUACUUUUAAAAUACCAACUAAAUAAAUUAGUUUAUUAAUGCUUUAUACGUGGAUGAUACACAAACUAUAUGUAACGAAUAUUGAAAAAUCUUUUAUAUCAAUUAUCACUGAUACGUUUAUUUUUUGCAUAUAUAUUUUCCUUUAUCUGUUAUAUAAGGAAGAUCUUAUUGGUUUUCAUGGUCAUGUGUACGCUGAGAGAAUAUUAGUGACUAAAUACAAUUGAUAUAUAAAUAGAAUAUAUGUAGUAAAACGUUUAGUUUUGCUAUUCUAAUUCUGUGUCACAAAUAAAAAAUAAUAAACAAAAUAAGGUCGAGUGUAAAUGCUGUAGGUAUAGAUUGCUAAUUUGUGAAGGUUAGGCAAAUAAAAAUUGCAUUGGCAAAAAAUAUAAACAUUUAAUUAACUUCCGCGUGUAGGAAAUAUUUAUUUGUAUGUAUGUAUGUAUGUAUGUAUGUAUGUAUGUAUGUAUGUAUGUAUGUAUGUAUGUAUGUAUGUAUGUAUGUAUGUAUGUAUGUAUGUAUGUAUGUAUGUAUGUAUGUAUGUAUAUAUGUAUGUUUUAUUAAUGUGGAUGUAUUCGGAUCAAAUUUUGCAACUGACUUUUAAACUAUUAUCUAACCCAGUUCAGAUAAAGAUUUUCAAACGCCUUUAGUUUGCACUAUGGUACAGUUUUAUAUCCAAUAUGGCUGACGAUCCAAAAUGGUAGCGCUGUUAUAUACUAUACACUCUUGUGUUAUAACUAUAGCUUUGAUUAAGAAAAACAAUAAAUUUUAUAAUCCGGCGAUAAUUAACUAUUUAAGUAUAAAGUAAUAAAAUUCAUAAUAAUAUCUACGAAUGUUUUGAGUUACAUAAUAUUAGAAAUAAACGAAUGAUCAUUUUAUUUUAUUAUUUUACAUUUUUUUCGAAGUUUCAACUUCGUGGCUGUAACCGUGACCACGAGUAGACGAGAUGAAAGUGUCUGUUAGAUAACAUACUUUUAUUAUAUAUUUAUUUAUUAUAUUAUACUUAGCAUACUUUUCUUAGGUAUUUCAUCUACCGCCGACGAUUAAAAUAAUAAAAUCAAGAAGUAUAAACAGAAAAUAAUAGUUUUAUUUGAAUGAAAAUAAUUUAUACUAAUGCUCGUCCUAAAAGUGUUCCAUGGUAUUCCAGAACAUUCUUUGAGCAUAUAAUUUUUGUAUGUAAGUUUUAUGAUUUUUAAUUGAUGCAGGCUUUCCCAUUAGGUUUUUUUUAAAUUAUUUUAUGCUCAAUUCACAUAACAUUAGGAUAAAAGCUUUCCCCGAGGAAGUUGAUUUUGAUAUUUAAAUUUAAGAACACUAUUAUUUUUAUUAUUUAUUUAUCUACAUAUACAUUUGUCAAUGUCAGAUAUAUGCUCCAUGACUUUUUUUAAUUUUCGUUUUAUAAUAGCUAGGCAUAGAACCUUAUAGAAGACAUUUUAUUUACCGAAAUGCAUUUUUUUUAAAGGAAUGUCGUGAGCCCAAAUUAAGCAUUAAAACGAUUUUAAGUUCUAGAUUUAACACGGAAUACUUUAGGAAUAUAGGAAUACUGUUAAGCUAUUAUUAAUUUAUUAGUACAAGACAAAGUAACCAUGUAUGUGUCUGAUAGGUAAUAAAGUUUUCCAGAGGUAAAGUUAAAUUUGCUAGUUGGCUUUAUUCGUUCAUCUUUUUAUUAAAUAAUAAGUUGGCAAUUUAAAAAGUAUUGGUAGAAUAAAUACAAACUAAAUAUAGUUAAUUUGUUUUUUCUUACUGGCUCAUAUUCAUAAGAUUUAUCUUUUGUUUAUAAUAACGGGAAUUUUGCUACACGCUUUCAUGUGAAAUAAAUAUUGUAAACUAAUAAUUUAAUAAGUUCAUAUGUAGCUAUCUAAAUUGAAUUUUUUUUAGAUCCUGGAAUAGUAAAUAAUAGGUAUCAAUUUAUAAAUUUGUUUGUAAGAACAAAAAAUAAAAUAUGUACUGUUUUGUCUUUAAAUGGUUCGGUAGUUAUAACAUUUCCAUGGUUAAUUUAGUUGGAAACUAGUUGCUCCAUAUAAUCUAUUUUCUCUUACCCUGUAUUGAAUGAAUUACGUAAUACAUGUCAUUUAGUUUCCUAUGACCUUUGUAGUUGAUCGCAUUUCACAUUACAAGGUAAAUAUCUAUUUUUAUAUUGCAAAUAAAACAUAUAUUACUUUUAUUUGCAAUAAUAUAACGAUUUGUGUUUAUAAUUAAAUUCUUAUUUAACAGAAUAUCGUAAUAAAAAUAUAGGAUUUAAAAUAUUUGAGAUUUGAUGUGUAAUAAUUGUAAUUAUUUAUUGAAAUUAAUUUCCAUCGGUCGAUAUAAAGUUUCACAGUUCACAGUUUUAAAAAUAGAGUGGGUUUUCAAAAACGGCCAUAAUACCUUAUCAUACAUACCAUACCAUAUAUAGAUAUAUACCUAAGUAAUAAUGAUAAAUAAUGCACCAUGAGAACAAUACAAAUAAUUUGUGACUAUAUAUCUUAAGAUAAGCGAUUUAAUUUUGUUUUUGUAAUUUUUUGUACUUUUAUAACCAAUUUUUAUCGUCAUCUUGAAAGAAAUUUUAAUAUUCAUCAGUAAAUAAUCUUGUGAUUAUUCCAUUCCAACUGUUUCCUAAAAUUACUUUACGAUAGCAUAACUCAAUAUCUCUCGCAAUGAUCCAUACUUUUAAGUUUUAUUUAAAUAGGACGGAUGCAUUGCAUAUUUUUUCCAUUCAUCAUAUCAUAGUCACUCCAUCGAACGUUCUCGGAGUAUAUUUGAUUUACAUUUAUUCUUUUAACCUCAUUUUUAUUCCAUUUUGCAACUUUAGCUUGGCGAUUACGUAAUGUGUUUUUAGUAUCUGUUGUUAUAUACUGACGUUGUUUACAGGAUUUGACCUUUUACGAUAAGACCGUAAUUUCUAAUUAGUAACAAUGCUAAAGAUAAUUUACGACGAUUAUAAGAAUGAGACGUGACCUGAAUAUCGAAUGUCAGAGAUAAAUUGAACAAACAACAUUAUUCUUUAAUUAAAGCUAUUUACUAAAUUCUAUUCCUUAUAUUUUGUGCUACAUUUAUAUGAUUUUAAUAAUUUUAUUAUUUGGUGGUAUAGUUAAAAAUAGUGUGUAUAUAAUAAUAAUUAUGAUUUGUUAAUAAAAUAUUAAGCUCAAA
Molecule: long non-coding RNA, 3988 nt
Organism: Danaus plexippus (monarch butterfly)
Lineage: Eukaryota; Metazoa; Arthropoda; Insecta; Lepidoptera; Nymphalidae
Exons: 2
Source: RefSeq, a predicted model, not a curated record